RNAcentral lists this ribosomal RNA (473 nucleotides) under freshwater sediment clone ppC13rna. RNAcentral's name for it is "bacterial SSU rRNA". It matches the Rfam family "Bacterial small subunit ribosomal RNA", at positions 30 to 477 of the family's 1533-position model. The record is from RNAcentral.
AUNUGAACGCUGGCGGCGUGCUUAACACAUGCAAGUCGAGCGCGAAAGUCUCUUCGGGGGCUAGUAGAGCGGCGGACGGGUGAGUAAUACGUGGAUAAUCUUCCCUCGAGCUUGGGAUAACCCUGCGAAAGUGGGGCUAAUACCGGAUAAGACACAUGUCAUAUGCCAUGUGGUAGAGGGUGGCUUAUAUUUAUAUGAGCUAUCACUUGAGGAUGAGUCCAUGGCCUAUCAGCUUGUUGGUGAGGUAAGAGCUCACCAAGGCUAUGACGGGUAGCUGGUCUGAGAGGACGACCAGCCACACUGGGACUGAGAUACGGCCCAGACUCCUACGGGAGGCAGCAGUGGGGAAUAUUGGGCAAUGGGCGAAAGCCUGACCCAGCGACGCCGCGUGGGUGAUGAAGCCUUCGGGUUGUAAAACCCUUUCGUGCGGAAAGAACAGUCUCGUAGGCGAAUACCUACGGGAUUUGACGGUA